CUCUUCCUCACUACGGGGAACUCUGAGAGAAGACGUCAAACCCCUUCUUGGCAGUUUAUCUCAAUAAAGCUGUACUAUCCCAGCCAUCUGGAGGGACCUAACCCACACUUUAUUUACUUAUAUGAUAAGUUUAGUGGAGUGUAGUGCAAAAUACACAGUGUUUACUUUUAAUUUAACAACAUGAAGCUGCAUCAAGUUUCCAUGGUGACUGCUCAAGAAAUUCUGCAUUCAUAAAUAAACAUCAGACUGUCAAAAGAGCUCAUCUGUGCGAGACCACCGAGCUGAGAGCAUUUUCAGGUCCAGAUCCCCCGUACGCCAUCGUUGGAGAGCAGUUGACGUUUUUCUUCCUGACUUUGAUUUGAACACGUUUAAAUGGAAAAGAGUCAAGGAAUCUAUAAGCCUAUCAGGGUGUUGUUCAACACACCGAUUUAUGAAACAGCUGUAAAGAUCUGCUGGUAUCUUCCGGGCUACAAGGCUCAGGUUGCGAUAAUGACGGAGUUUCUCAGACUUCAGCAGGAAGAUCUAAUUCCACCGAACCUCACUGCUGAAGAUCUGAGAGAUCUUUUGGUGGAGAAGAGCAGGGAGACGCUCAGAGAGCAGCUGUGGGAGUUUGAGUUAGAGGAUUUUGACGAAGAGGAAGCCAAACCUCUUCUAAGGCUGGUGUGGGCGGUGAACGUCAGCAAUAAAAUGAGGGACGUUGAAUUUGAAGCCAGGUUGCUUCUUCAGUUCCCAGAGGCCGUACCUCCUAAAUUUCAAGCACCUAAACUCCUCAGCGCGGUGAAGGAUUACGUUGAAAUCCUGAAAAAGAAGCAGCAGGAACAGCCUAACAGCAAACUGCUCACCGCGCAGGAGGUAGUGGUCGAGGUAG
Astatotilapia calliptera (eastern happy) is the source of this 868-nucleotide long non-coding RNA. NCBI's taxonomy places the organism in Eukaryota, Metazoa, Chordata, Actinopteri, Cichliformes, Cichlidae. The record is from Ensembl.